The sequence is a ribosomal RNA, 625 nucleotides long. It matches the Rfam family "Bacterial large subunit ribosomal RNA", at positions 2300 to 2925 of the family's 2925-position model.
ACGGAGGCGCUCAAAGGUUCCCUCAGAAUGGUUGGAAAUCAUUCAUAGAGUGUAAAGGCAUAAGGGAGCUUGACUGCGAGACCUACAAGUCGAGCAGGGUCGAAAGACGGACUUAGUGAUCCGGUGGUUCCGCAUGGAAGGGCCAUCGCUCAACGGAUAAAAGCUACCCCGGGGAUAACAGGCUUAUCUCCCCCAAGAGUUCACAUCGACGGGGAGGUUUGGCACCUCGAUGUCGGCUCAUCGCAUCCUGGGGCUGUAGUCGGUCCCAAGGGUUGGGCUGUUCGCCCAUUAAAGCGGUACGCGAGCUGGGUUCAGAACGUCGUGAGACAGUUCGGUCCCUAUCCGUCGUGGGCGUAGGAAAUUUGAGAGGAGCUGUCCUUAGUACGAGAGGACCGGGAUGGACAUACCUCUGGUGUACCAGUUGUCGUGCCAACGGCAUAGCUGGGUAGCUAUGUGUGGACGGGAUAAGUGCUGAAAGCAUCUAAGCAUGAAGCCCCCCUCAAGAUGAGAUUUCCCAACUUCGGUUAUAAGAUCCCUCAAAGAUGAUGAGGUUAAUAGGUUCGAGGUGGAAGCAUGGUGACAUGUGGAGCUGACGAAUACUAAUCGAUCGAAGACUUAAUCAAAA